This 350-nucleotide long non-coding RNA is filed under the name Trifolium pratense (red clover). RNAcentral describes it as "long non-coding RNA (TPRA_LNC010501)". The record is from RNAcentral. Lineage: Eukaryota; Viridiplantae; Streptophyta; Magnoliopsida; Fabales; Fabaceae.
CAUUCUAUAAAAUAAUAUUUACAUAAAUGUUUGAAUUAAAAGUGAGUUUGACAGAAUCACAAUAUAUCAUACGUCAAAAUUUCAACAAAAUCGCAGUGUGCUCAACAUGCACUUAAUUUAACAUUAUCAAUUAUGUAAGUACUUUGAUAUAAUUGACAGUAUACAGUACUUAUUCAAAAUGAAUUGAAUCUCCAAGAAGACUUAUUUAUCUCAACACAUUCAUGUUCAAUUCCUCGCAGACGAAAUGAUGUUAGAACCAAAAAACGGGAGCUUCUUUUUUCGCUCCUCACAUUUGUUCAGAAGUAUACUUUCGGACAAAAUAAAGUUACCAAUAUGUCAUGCAUAUAGUA